GACGAACGCUGGCGGCGUGCUUAACACAUGCAAGUCGAACGGAAAGACCCUGCUUUUGUGGGGUGCUCGAGUGGCGAACGGGUGAGUAACACGUGAGUAACCUGCCCUUGACUUUGGGAUAACUUCAGGAAACUGGGGCUAAUACCGGAUAGGAGCUCCUGCUGCAUGGUGGGGGUUGGAAAGUUUCGGCGGUUGGGGAUGGACUCGCGGCUUAUCAGCUUGUUGGUGGGGUAGUGGCUUACCAAGGCUUUGACGGGUAGCCGGCCUGAGAGGGUGACCGGCCACAGUGGGACUGAGAUACGGCCCAGACUCCUACGGGAGGCAGCAGGGGGGAAUAUUGCACAAUGGGCGGAAGCCUGAUGCAGCAACGCCGCGUGCGGGAUGACGGCCUUCGGGUUGUAAACCGCUUUCGCCUGUGACGAAGCGUGAGUGACGGUAAUGGGUAAAGAAGCACCGGCUAACUACGUG
RNAcentral lists this ribosomal RNA (468 nucleotides) under uncultured bacterium. Its description in RNAcentral is "partial 16S ribosomal RNA". It matches the Rfam family "Bacterial small subunit ribosomal RNA", at positions 28 to 507 of the family's 1533-position model. The record is from RNAcentral.